Long non-coding RNA from Triticum aestivum (bread wheat), 1575 nucleotides. RefSeq lists it as uncharacterized. The transcript is spliced from 2 exons. The record is from RefSeq and is a predicted model, not a curated record. Lineage: Eukaryota; Viridiplantae; Streptophyta; Magnoliopsida; Poales; Poaceae.
CGACGGGGACGGCUCGAGCUUGCAGGGGCUGGGGGCAGAUCCGGAGGCAGGGGUCGCCGGUGACGACGAGGAAGGCGGAGCACGGGCGGAUCCAUGGCAUCCGCGGCUCCUGGGCACAAAGGAGACAGGGAGGCCAGGGAGAGAAGAAGGAAGAAAGGAGGGGUUGUGCGGCGACCUAGCGAGGAGCUCGCCGGAGCUGGGCGAAGGCGGAUUGGCGCGGGAGACGGAGGGGUCCGGCGCGGCGGCGCGAAGUCCUUGCAGGUGGAGGCAGGCGUCGAAGCAGAGGACGAGAGGAUCCCCUGAUCCACCCCCUCCUACCCAUCCAGCCCUUCCUCGAUGGCCCGCGUGCGACGAGCCCCUACGCGGGGUAAGAAGGGGGGUCACGCGAGGUGGGGCACUCCAGCCCCCUCCUAGCCCUACCACGGUGAGGCCUCCUUUCCCUCUCUCCCUGCCUGAGCCAUAGGCUGGCGGCGCUGAGGUCGAUAUGCUCAUGCACACACUGUUGCUGUGACAUGAUGACAGCCACGACCCACUUUUUCUUCCAGUUCCUUGUUUUUGUGGUGGAUGCAUCCAUGAUUAUUUGUUUCAACUAUUGAUUUUCAGUUUAGUCAAUCAAACCCAUUCCGAUGCUGCUCUUUUACUUGUACAAAUAAACUAUUGUUCACUAAACUGAGCAGCUAGCUACUGGUGUCUCAAAGAUUAAGCACAGGUUGGUACUUAUGGUCAGGCCUGCCUCAAGUAGGGGAAGAAGAGGAGGCCUGAAAGAGAGAGGCCACAAGGUAGAAGCCUUUUGAUUAGGAGGCAGUCCAGCAAGUUGGACGAACUGCUGAUAAAGAGAUAAUUCUAUUCUGAAUUUUUAUCUGAAAAGCAGGAUUGGAUCACGGAUGUGUGUUGGCUAUGUCUCUCACGGUGUGUGGAACCAGUUAUUGGUUAAUUUCAUCUUGUUUGUUGACAUUGAUGGUGUUGUCCAUUGGUUUAAAAGAAAUUUGUUGAAGCUAAAGAUGAAGAGGAACUUGUGGAAGAGGAAAAGAAAUGACAUGGUAGAAAUUCAUUCACACAUAUCAGGGUCAUAGUGAGAGGAUUGAUCUGCUUGAUUCGCUCCUGAUGGUCGGUGGAUUGUUUCUGGUAGGGCUAAGAGUUCUGUGAAGGGCGUGUAGACGGCAGGAUGAGCAGCAGCAUGCCGGUGGUAAGACAGGGCGUGUAGACGGCAGGAUGAGCAGCAGCAUGCCAGUGGUAAGACAGGGCGUGUUGGCGUAUGCGAAGCAGCCAUGCAUGAAUCUUGGCGGCAGAUGCUUGCUGGCCGUAGUGGCAGCACCAAUUCAAGCCGGGAGGCGGGAAGCUGGAGUAGCAGGAACGAUUGGUCGUCCAUUAGGCAUGAACCCAACUCCACUGUACUCCCUUUUCUUUCCGUAACCAAUUCUUUGGAGCAGACAUGUGGGUACAGUUACAUAGCCUGAAGAUUGUUUGCUUUUUUUGGUUAGUUUAGAUUUAGAUUUCUCAGAUAUUCACUAUUUGAUCAAUCGAUCCAUGUAGAUCUCAUUGACAUGGUUUGUGGAAUGUACCUUUCAGCAUUUA